RNAcentral lists this ribosomal RNA (253 nucleotides) under uncultured bacterium. Its description in RNAcentral is "partial 16S ribosomal RNA". It matches the Rfam family "Bacterial small subunit ribosomal RNA", at positions 524 to 776 of the family's 1533-position model. The record is from RNAcentral.
UACGAAGGGGGCUAGCGUUGUUCGGAAUCACUGGGCGUAAAGCGCACGCAGGCGGAUUGAUAAGUCAGGGGUGAAAUCCCGGAGCUCAACUUCGGAAUUGCCUUUGAUACUGUCUGUCUUGAGUCCGGGAGAGGUGAGUGGAAUUCCUAGUGUAGAGGUGAAAUUCGUAGAUAUUAGGAAGAACACCGGUGGCGAAGGCGGCUUCCUGGCCGAAAACUGACGCUGAGGCACGAAAGCGUGGGGAGCAAACGGG